GGGUUGUGAGGUUAAGCGACUAAGCGUACACGGUGGAUGCCCUGGCAGUCAGAGGCGAUGAAGGACGUGCUAAUCUGCGAAAAGCGUCGGUAAGGUGAUAUGAACCGUUAUAACCGGCGAUGUCCGAAUGGGGAAACCCAGUGUGAUUCGUCACACUAUCGUUAACUGAAUACAUAGGUUAACGAGGCGAACCGGGGGAACUGAAACAUCUAAGUACCCCGAGGAAAAGAAAUCAACCGAGAUUCCCCCAGUAGCGGCGAGCGAACGGGGAGCAGCCCAGAGUCUGAAUCAGCUUGUGUGUUAGUGGAACGGUCUGGAAAGUCCGACGGUACAGGGUGAUAGUCCCGUACACCAAAAUGCACAGGUUGUGAACUCGAAGAGUAGGGCGGGACACGUGGUAUCCUGUCUGAAUAUGGGGGGACCAUCCUCCAAGGCUAAAUACUCCUGACUGACCGAUAGUGAACCAGUACCGUGAGGGAAAGGCGAAAAGAACCCCGGCGAGGGGAGUGAAAAAGAACCUGAAACCGUGUACGUACAAGCAGUGGGAGCACCUUCGGGUGUGACUGCGUACCUUUUGUAUAAUGGGUCAGCGACUUAUAUUCUGUAGCAAGGUUAACCGUAUAGGGGAGCCGCAGGGAAACCGAGUCUUAACUGGGCGUUAAGUUGCAGGGUAUAGACCCGAAACCCGGUGAUCUAGCCAUGGGCAGGUUGAAGGUUGGGUAACACUAACUGGAGGACCGAACCGACUAAUGUUGAAAAAUUAGCGGAUGACUUGUGGCUGGGGGUGAAAGGCCAAUCAAACCGGGAGAUAGCUGGUUCUCCCCGAAAGCUAUUUAGGUAGCGCCUCGUGAACUCAUCUUCGGGGGUAGAGCACUGUUUCGGCUAGGGGGUCAUCCCGACUUACCAACCCGAUGCAAACUACGAAUACCGAAGAAUGUUAUCACGGGAGACACACGGCGGGUGCUAACGUCCGUCGUGAAGAGGGAAACAACCCAGACCGCCAGCUAAGGUCCCAAAGUCAUGGUUAAGUGGGAAACGAUGUGGGAAGGCACAGACAGCCAGGAUGUUGGCUUAGAAGCAGCCAUCAUUUAAAGAAAGCGUAAUAGCUCACUGGUCGAGUCGGCCUGCGCGGAAGAUGUAACGGGGCUAAACCAUGCACCGAAGCUGCGGCAGCGACACUAUGUGUUGUUGGGUAGGGGAGCGUUCUGUAAGCCUGCGAAGGUGUGCUGUGAGGCAUGCUGGAGGUAUCAGAAGUGCGAAUGCUGACAUAAGUAACGAUAAAGCGGGUGAAAAGCCCGCUCGCCGGAAGACCAAGGGUUCCUGUCCAACGUUAAUCGGGGCAGGGUGAGUCGACCCCUAAGGCGAGGCCGAAAGGCGUAGUCGAUGGGAAACAGGUUAAUAUUCCUGUACUUGGUGUUACUGCGAAGGGGGGACGGAGAAGGCUAUGUUAGCCGGGCGACGGUUGUCCCGGUUUAAGCAUGUAGGCUGAUUGUCCAGGCAAAUCCGGAUAAUCAAGGCUGAGGUGUGAUGACGAGGCACUACGGUGCUGAAGUAACAAAUGCCCUGCUUCCAGGAAAAGCCUCUAAGCAUCAGGUAACAUUAAAUCGUACCCCAAACCGACACAGGUGGUCAGGUAGAGAAUACCAAGGCGCUUGAGAGAACUCGGGUGAAGGAACUAGGCAAAAUGGUGCCGUAACUUCGGGAGAAGGCACGCUGGUGUGUAGGUGAAGUCCCUGCGGAUGGAGCUGAGACCAGUCGAAGAUACCAGCUGGCUGCAACUGUUUAUUAAAAACACAGCACUGUGCAAACACGAAAGUGGACGUAUACGGUGUGACGCCUGCCCGGUGCCGGAAGGUUAAUUGAUGGGGUUAUCCGUAAGGAGAAGCUCUUGAUCGAAGCCCCGGUAAACGGCGGCCGUAACUAUAACGGUCCUAAGGUAGCGAAAUUCCUUGUCGGGUAAGUUCCGACCUGCACGAAUGGCGUAAUGAUGGCCAGGCUGUCUCCACCCGAGACUCAGUGAAAUUGAACUCGCUGUGAAGAUGCAGUGUACCCGCGGCAAGACGGAAAGACCCCGUGAACCUUUACUAUAGCUUGACACUGAACAUUGAGCCUUGAUGUGUAGGAUAGGUGGGAGGCUUUGAAGCGUGGACGCCAGUCUGCGUGGAGCCAACCUUGAAAUACCACCCUUUAAUGUUUGAUGUUCUAACGUUGGCCCCUGACCGGGGUUGCGGACAGUGUCUGGUGGGUAGUUUGACUGGGGCGGUCUCCUCCCAAAGCGUAACGGAGGAGCACGAAGGUUAGCUAAUCCUGGUCGGACAUCAGGAGGUUAGUGCAAUGGCAUAAGCUAGCUUGACUGCGAGCGUGACGGCGCGAGCAGGUGCGAAAGCAGGUCAUAGUGAUCCGGUGGUUCUGAAUGGAAGGGCCAUCGCUCAACGGAUAAAAGGUACUCCGGGAUAACAGGCUGAUACCGCCCAAGAGUUCAUAUCGACGGCGGUGUUUGGCACCUCGAUGUCGGCUCAUCACAUCCUGGGGCUGAAGUAGGUCCCAAGGGUAUGGCUGUUCGCCAUUUAAAGUGGUACGCGAGCUGGGUUUAGAACGUCGUGAGACAGUUCGGUCCCUAUCUGCCGUGGGCGCUGGAGAAUUGAGGGGGGCUGCUCCUAGUACGAGAGGACCGGAGUGGACGCAUCACUGGUGUUCGGGUUGUCAUGCCAAUGGCACUGCCCGGUAGCUAAAUGCGGAAGAGAUAAGUGCUGAAAGCAUCUAAGCACGAAACUUGCCCCGAGAUGAGUUCUCCCUGAGACUAUAAGUCUCCUGAAGGAACGUUAAAGACGAUGACGUUGAUAGGCCGGGUGUGUAAGCGCAGCGAUGCGUUGAGCUAACCGGUACUAAUGAACCGUGAGGCUUAACCUUACAACGCCGAAG
This 2922-nucleotide ribosomal RNA is filed under the name Klebsiella pneumoniae subsp. pneumoniae. RNAcentral describes it as "bacterial LSU rRNA". It matches the Rfam family "Bacterial large subunit ribosomal RNA". The record is from RNAcentral. Lineage: Bacteria; Pseudomonadati; Pseudomonadota; Gammaproteobacteria; Enterobacterales; Enterobacteriaceae.